GGAGAGGAAGGUGGCAGCAUUACUAAUCAGAUGUUUGACUGGGAAAUGUAAAGAGAUAGUCAUUACAUGGACAUCUGGAGAAAAAAACAGCACAUGGAAGUAUCAAGUGUUCUGGGGCCGCCUAGGCAGAGGGAAACAAGAGCUAGACUACCUGCUCGUGAUCCCAGGAGGCUAAUGGAACAGUGAUGUAUCGCGGUUCCUGCCUCGUGAAUUUGGAAGCAGGAUUCUGCUCCUAGGAAAAGAUGAGAAUAGAGCUCCAGUCUAUUCUUGCUGCAGUAAUUUGAAAAUUAUGGGACCAUCAAUCUGUUGUGAAUGCUGUCUACAGCAGAUCUUAUCUCUCAGAGUUAUCAAACUGAGCUGCUCCAAAGGUUUGACAUAAAUUACAUGUUAAACGUAUAACAUCUUCUCCUAUGGAUUUCUCCUGGGCAAGAAUGGCAUCUCGGUGCAGGACCCGCAGCACUUUCUCUGGCUCCGCAGACCCGUAAUGAGCCUCCAGAACCUCAGGCUUGGUUUUCUCUGUCUUCAGCAUGUGGAUCACAUCUUCUCUGGCCUGUAAUAGAAAGUGCAGCAAGAUCAGACGACUGACAAUGUAAAUCGCAUACUGGGCUCAAAAAUUCAACAGAGAGCUUAUUGAAUACAUCCCCAUC
This 647-nucleotide non-coding RNA is filed under the name Pan troglodytes (chimpanzee). Lineage: Eukaryota; Metazoa; Chordata; Mammalia; Primates; Hominidae. The record is from RNAcentral.